CUACGGGAGGCAGCAGUAGGGAAUAUUGGGCAAUGGGCGAAAGCCUGACCCAGCAACGCCGCGUGUGUGAUGAAGGCCUUCGGGUCGUAAAACACUUUUCUGGGAGAUGAGAAAGGACAGUAUCCCAGGAAUAAGCCUCGGCUAACUACGUGCCAGCAGCCGCGGUAAAACGUAGGAGGCGAGCGUUAUCCGGAUUCACUGGGCGUAAAGCGUGUGCAGGCGGUUCGGCAAGUUGGAUGUGAAAUCUCCCGGCUCAACUGGGAGGGGUCGUUCAAAACUACCGGACUUGAGGGCAUCAGAGGAAGGUGGAAUUCCCGGUGUAGUGGUGAAAUGCGUAGAUAUCGGGAGGAACACCAGUGGCGAAGGCGGCCUUCUGGGAUGUUCCUGACGCUCAGACACGAAAGCUAGGGUAGCGAACGGGAUUAGAUACCCCGGUAGC
RNAcentral lists this ribosomal RNA (439 nucleotides) under uncultured bacterium. Its description in RNAcentral is "bacterial SSU rRNA". It matches the Rfam family "Bacterial small subunit ribosomal RNA", at positions 339 to 794 of the family's 1533-position model. The record is from RNAcentral.